This 74-nucleotide transfer RNA is filed under the name Bacteroidota bacterium. RNAcentral's name for it is "Bacteroidetes bacterium (wastewater metagenome) tRNA-Pro". It matches the Rfam family "tRNA". Rfam says of the family: Transfer RNA (tRNA) molecules are approximately 80 nucleotides in length. Their secondary structure includes four short double-helical elements and three loops (D, anti-codon, and T loops). RNAcentral also lists the same sequence under 1 other name. Lineage: Bacteria; Pseudomonadati; Bacteroidota. The record is from RNAcentral.
CGGGGUGUGGCUCAGCCCGGUAGAGCACCUCGUUCGGGACGAGGGGGUCGGAGGUUCAAAUCCUCUCACCCCGA